UACGGAGGGGGCGAGCGUUGUUCGGAAUUAUUGGGCGUAAAGCGCACGUAGGCGGCUUCUUAAGUCAGGGGUGAAAUCCUGGAGCUCAACUCCAGAACUGCCUUUGAUACUGAGAAGCUUGAGUCCGGGAGAGGUGAGUGGAACUGCGAGUGUAGAGGUGAAAUUCGUAGAUAUUCGCAAGAACACCAGUGGCGAAGGCGGCUCACUGGCCCGGUACUGACGCUGAGGUGCGAAAGCGUGGGGAGCAAACAGG
Molecule: ribosomal RNA, 253 nt
Filed under: uncultured bacterium
Lineage: Bacteria
Description: partial 16S ribosomal RNA
Rfam family: Bacterial small subunit ribosomal RNA
Source: RNAcentral